RNAcentral lists this long non-coding RNA (690 nucleotides) under Rattus norvegicus (Norway rat). RNAcentral describes it as "long non-coding RNA NONRATT014976". Lineage: Eukaryota; Metazoa; Chordata; Mammalia; Rodentia; Muridae. The record is from RNAcentral.
AAAACAAACCUACAAACAAGAAUUUCCAAGAAACGCAUCUUAAAUGCCGUUAGCAUGGGUAUUUUUUCAAACAGUAGAUAAAUAAUUCAAAGUCCUGGGACUUAGUGCAAAGAGAAGACAGGCUUCCGACAGGCGACAGGUGACUCGAUUUCACCUUUGUGCAGCACAUCGUUCCUUCUCUAACGUAACAAGGUGCUUUAAAACUUACUAGUCAGAUAAGGACCAUAUUGACAUGAAAGUGGACGUCUCCUUGCGUUCUUCUACCAAGUACUUGGCUCAUCUGAGGCACACAACGUUCUCUUUGCUCACGGCACUGCUUUCUCCAGAUCAGCGUCUGAGGCUGCCGAGCUCUCUGAAGAAACUCCGGGGAGAAGCUCAAGCACUACUUUUUAAAACUGGAAACCUGGCCUAUGAAAUCAGUAAGGAAAAGGAGCCAAAUGUGUCCGGUCUCUCUAUCCUCUGCAGGACGGACAGGGUCUCCGUAUUAAUAACCUAGAUGAAGUCAUCUGUUCUGGGUGACUGGACCGGGAUCGGACCCUGACCCAGGAGCAGGGAAACGCUCCCUCCUCGCUCUGAAGGGGUGAAGGAAAUGAACAUCUGCCCUUUCCAGGCAAACACUCAGAAUUUGUGAGCACGGACUCACACACUGUAUCCAUUAAAUCGGAGUAAACCGGACAGACGCUCACCUGC